Molecule: ribosomal RNA, 331 nt
Filed under: uncultured Psychrilyobacter sp.
Lineage: Bacteria; Fusobacteriati; Fusobacteriota; Fusobacteriia; Fusobacteriales; Fusobacteriaceae
Description: bacterial SSU rRNA
Rfam family: Bacterial small subunit ribosomal RNA
Source: RNAcentral
GCUUAACACAUGCAAGUCGACUGGAAUUCUUCUUCGGAAGAUAGUACGGUGGCGGACGGGUGAGUAACGCGUAAAGAAUUUGCCCUUCAGACUGGGACAACUAAUCGAAAGGUUAGCUAAUACCGGAUAUUAUGAGACCUUGGCAUCAAGGACUUAUGAAAGCUAUAUGCGCUGAAGGAGAACUUUGCGUUCCAUUAGGUAGUUGGUAGGGUAAUGGCCUACCAAGCCGACGAUGGAUAGCCGGCCUGAGAGGGUGAACGGCCACAAGGGGACUGAGACACGGCCCUUACUCCUACGGGAGGCAGCAGUGGGGAAUAUUGGACAAUGGACC